This 244-nucleotide ribosomal RNA is filed under the name uncultured bacterium. Its description in RNAcentral is "partial 16S ribosomal RNA". It matches the Rfam family "Bacterial small subunit ribosomal RNA", at positions 524 to 767 of the family's 1533-position model. The record is from RNAcentral.
UACGUAGGGGCGAGCGUUGUCCGGAAUUAUUGGGCGUAAAGAGCGCGUAGGCGGUCCGGUAAGUCCGCUGUGAAAGUCCAGGGCUCAACCCUGGGAUGCCGGCGGAUACUGUCGGACUAGAGUCCGGAAGAGGCGAGUGGAAUUCCCCGGUGUAGCGGUGAAAUGCGCAGAUAUCGGGAAGAACACCCAUGGCGAAGGCAGCUCUCUGGGACGGUACUGACGCUGAGACGCGAAAGCGUGGGGA